Molecule: ribosomal RNA, 1088 nt
Filed under: uncultured bacterium
Lineage: Bacteria
Description: bacterial SSU rRNA
Rfam family: Bacterial small subunit ribosomal RNA
Source: RNAcentral
UGCAAGUCGAGGGGUAACAGGGAGUGCUUGCACUCUGCUGACGACCGGCGCACGGAUGCGUAACGCGUAUGCAAUCUACCUCUUACUGAGGGAUAGCCCAUGGAAACGUGGAUUAAUACCUCAUAGUAUUAUAGACUGGCCUCAGUUUAUGAUUAAAGGUUACGGUAAGAGAUGAGCAUGCGUCCUAUUAGCUAGAUGGUAAGGUAACGGCUUACCAUGGCUACGAUAGGUAGGGGUCCUGAGAGGGAGAUCCCCCACACUGGUACUGAGACACGGACCAGACUCCUACGGGAGGCAGCAGUGAGGAAUAUUGGACAAUGGGCGAGAGCCUGAUCCAGCCAUGCCGCGUGCAGGAAGACGGCCCUAUGGGUUGUAAACUGCUUUUACAGAGGAAGAACCCUCCUCACGUGUAAGGAGCUGACGGUACUCUAUGAAUAAGGAUCGGCUAACUCCGUGCCAGCAGCCGCGGUAAUACGGAGGAUCCAAGCGUUAUCCGGAAUCAUUGGGUUUAAAGGGUCCGUAGGCGGGUCUAUAAGUCAGUGGUGAAAGUCUGCAGCUUAACUGUAGAACUGCCAUUGAUACUGUAGACCUUGAAUUAGCAUGAAGUGGUUAGAAUGUGUAGUGUAGCGGUGAAAUGCAUAGAUAUUACACAGAAUACCGAUUGCGAAGGCAGAUCACUAAUACUAUAUUGACGCUGAUGGACGAAAGCGUAGGUAGUGAACAGGAUUAGAUACCCUGGUAGUCUACGCCGUAAACGAUGGUUACUAGCUGUCCGGCCUAAUUGAGGGCUGGGUGGUUAAGCGAAAGUGAUAAGUAACCCACCUGGGGAGUACGUUCGCAAGAAUGAAACUCAAAGGAAUUGACGGGGGCCCGCACAAGCGGUGAGCAUGUGGUUUAAUUCGAUGAUACGCGAGGAACCUUACCAGGGCUUAAAUGCAGUCUGACGUAUCUGAAACAGAUAUUUCUUCGGACAGAUUGCAGGUGCUGCAUGAUGUCGUCAGCUCGUGCCGUGAGUGUCAGUAAGUCUAUACGAGCGCAACUCCUGGUGGUUAGUUGCCAGCGAGUAAUGGCGGGAACUUCUAGCCGGA